GCAAAAUCCAAAGGCAACUUCCAAGUGUGCGGAUGUACUAGCCAACACCCUGCCCUCACUCAAGAAUAGACAAUAAAACAGCCACCAAUCAAAGGAAAGAAAGACUCACUUUUCCAAUGGACUCUUUUGAUAAUUUCACAUUCACAAAAUUAUUUCUACAAUUUAUGCAAUGAUCAUGUCACAAGCACAGUUUAGAGGUCAAGUAGGACUGUGAUCAAGCCUCAUCAACAAUGAUUAUACGCUUAUAGCAUCAUAGCAUCCAAUGAUGUGUUAUCAUAAUAGCAACAAUUAAUUCUUAAUCCUAAACUAGUUAAGGUUUGCUUUAUGGAUCUUUUUUAAUUCUAUUUGAGACCAAUUCCACAUCAAUAUUAAAAAAUUGUAAAU
RNAcentral lists this unclassified non-coding RNA (384 nucleotides) under Hevea brasiliensis (rubber tree). Lineage: Eukaryota; Viridiplantae; Streptophyta; Magnoliopsida; Malpighiales; Euphorbiaceae. The record is from RNAcentral.